UGGUGGUGAGAUGGAGGUUUGAUAGCCUUUACUGGUGGUGGAGUGGAGGAGAAUUUAGAAGAAAAUGGGUGAUUUAGGUGGUAAAAUGAAAGAAAAUAAGAAAAAAUUGGAGUAAGGAGGAGGAUGGCAAAAAGAGGGGAGGAGACCAAAAUGAAAAACAUAAAAAGUAAAAUGAGUAUGUCUAGGUGCAUGGUCGGUGAAGGUAAGGUUAGGGAGGGAAAAUGGUCUAUUGAGGGGAAAAAGGCAUGGAAAGG
RNAcentral lists this long non-coding RNA (254 nucleotides) under Gossypium raimondii (Peruvian cotton). RNAcentral's name for it is "long non-coding RNA (GRAI_LNC006444)". The record is from RNAcentral. Lineage: Eukaryota; Viridiplantae; Streptophyta; Magnoliopsida; Malvales; Malvaceae.